This is a long non-coding RNA of Sebastes umbrosus (honeycomb rockfish), 1421 nucleotides long. RefSeq lists it as uncharacterized. The record is from RefSeq and is a predicted model, not a curated record. NCBI's taxonomy places the organism in Eukaryota, Metazoa, Chordata, Actinopteri, Perciformes, Sebastidae. The transcript is spliced from 4 exons.
CCGCUCACCUCCGCCAUCUUGGACUACUGAAACCUAACGUGGCUGACGUCAAAGGAGCUUUUUCUUCUCACGCUGUCUGCUGAAGUUCAGGCUGCACCCCCGCCCAGCCUGCUGCUGCUCUGCUGCAGACGGGUCAACUCCUCAUACAGUCCGGCUGCUGAAUCGACAGCAUUGUUGCCAGGUUGUCAUGGCGUCUGAUUGUUGAGUAUCAUGUCACGCGCCCCAUCACAGCCGGACGUCCCUCCGAGCCUGCAGCCGAUCCCAUGGUCGCCAUGACGUUUACCUUGGCAACCACAAGAGGCUGGCUGUUGUGUCACCUCAUGUCAUAAGUCUCCCAUGUGAAGCCUCCAAACACUAACCAAAGUUAUUUUGUAGACUUCUUCAUUGAGGUUCGGUAGGCAGUUGAUAAGUGUUUCUUAGUUUCUUUAUAAGUCUAAAAACAGGUCAUAUGUCAUGUUUUUGUCAUCAAAGCAAACCGUACACUGGGAGGAUUUCAUGCCUUCUCAUACUCAGGCAUAUAACAUCGAAUAGAGCAUAAACAUGAGAUAAAAAACACUUCAAUCUGUUCUCGUGGCCAAUGGCAACACCAUUGGUUUGAUACAGAGCAACCACCAAAGUUUACAGUAUUUAUCACUGUGAAGCUUCAUGUCAUUUUUAUUUAAUCUUAAUUUUCCCUCUCAAAUCAGGUGCCUACUUAUUUUAUAAUAACCUGUGGUGGAAGAAGUAUUCAGAUCUUCUACUUGGGCUUUUGUUUCAGCAGCAUUACUCCCUCUCAAUGCCCUGCCUCCCAGGUAACUCCACUGCUGAACUGGUGCUGCUGGAGGGAGGGAGGGACAGUACACAGACUCUGCACAGCCCUCACAAAAUAUGCAUCAACCAAAUGGAGAAGAAAAACACAUCAACCAUAUGAGGAAGACUUCCUGCUAGAUUGACUUGUACACCUCCAGAGUCAGGAAACAUGCAGGGGGAAUCUCUGCAGACCCAUCACACCCUUCUCCUCUCUGGUAGGAGCUACAGAACACUGUCCACCAAAACAACCAGACACAACAACUAUUUUUCCCACAUGCCAUCACUUUGUUAAAUCAGUCAGAAAACACUAUUAUUUAGCACUAAUCAAUACAUCCACUGUACCUACAAAUUAUAAAUUAUUUAUAUUAUUUAAUAUACGGAUGUAUAUAUGUAAAUAAACAGGCUGCAUAUUGUACAUAAAUGUGUAUACAUGCAUAUAUUGUAGGCCUACAUAAACCACCUACUGUGUGUAUGUAAAGUAUAUUAUUAUGUUAUUAUUAUCAUGCAAUAUUUAUUCCAGCACUUACUGCACUCUAAGUUAACAGAAACAGUUUGAUCUUUAGACAUUGCAUGUUUUUGUCCAUCUAUUAAUGUAAAUUGCGAUUUUUUUAGUUUUAAAGCUAGAGUGAAGA